Molecule: long non-coding RNA, 2088 nt
Organism: Beta vulgaris subsp. vulgaris (sugar beet)
Lineage: Eukaryota; Viridiplantae; Streptophyta; Magnoliopsida; Caryophyllales; Amaranthaceae
Exons: 4
Source: RefSeq, a predicted model, not a curated record
UUCCAAAAUUAAUUAUAAUAGGCGACACUUUUUGCCACCAUUGGACAAUUCCUCACACUAAUCCCUAAACACGAAAAAUCCCAAAUCACAAGAUAGUGAGAUACUAGUCGGUUUUCUGGAAUUCCCAAAAACAUUUCCUCGUACAGUGGAGAACUACCAACAACUUCACAACUGACAUAUUCAUAUGCAACAUCAAAGGCACUUCCAAAAGGGAAGCGAACUAGAGGACCAACUAUGUGCAAAGAUGUCCAUGAAUGGACAUUAGAGGACCGCAAAACUAUUAUUCUUAAUGAAAUGGGGAAGCCUAUUGGUCUUGGUAAGAAAAAUGUAGAUAAAUUUUCAAGAUUCUUGGGUACUUUGUCUCGUAAUUCUUCUCUACACCAUUGAACAAGCUUAAUUGGCAUCAUGUGGUAGACAAGGACAAGCUUUUAUGUUAAGAAAAAAUAUAUGAUAUAUGAAGAAGGUAAAGAGCUUGUGCUCGUAUAUCAAUUGGGAGGCUUUGGCGUAGACAUAAGUGCACCAUAAAGUAAAGACACUUUACUCAAUACGACAAUGAUAAUGAUAGGAAAAAAAAUGCUCCGGUAAUAUAAUGUGAGCUUCACAUUUCAAGGAUUUGCUAGAGUUAUGGAAUUUGGAAUUAGUACAGGUACUUUUAUGCCUUUUUUCGCCUUGAAGUUGUGAGUUGGAUUAGCUCUUUUUACACUUUGUGACAUGACCACUACAUUGGUGAAAUCAAAACAAUUCAGGUUUUAAUUUCUUUUAUUUGCAUGUGUAAACAUACAAAAAUCAAAAGCCUAACUCAAACCUUGAAAAUGCUUAUCUUAAUCAAUUGAGCCAAAAUUUUCAUAUCUUUGUUUGUACUGCCUUAGAACGAGAGCUAAAUUCAACAUUAUACUAUUUUUGGCUCUCUGAAUGUGAAGGAUUUAUUGUUGCUUAUGAACUAAUGAUAUAAAAGAAGUAUCUUCUUACAAGGGUGAAAAGCUAGUCUUGCAAUCCAUUUUUGCUUUGCAUGUGAUACUUGUAAGAGAGAGAGGCAUGAAGAGUUGUCAUAUCGUUUUGAAAUUUCUAUCCAGAUUGGUUCUUGUUUGUAACUAGUAGUCUAUUUGAAGUUGUUUUAGGAAAAUCUAACUGCUAUUUCUUGUGAGCCAUUCUUUUACUCGAAACAAUAAAUCAAUUUUUUCUCCAUAUUUCGGUAUUUGAUGACCAUAUAUUAUCUUAAACUAAUUAUGUGGUUCUGCUAUACACUGAUGGGUGGAAAGAUAUCUGGUGGAAAAUUACAAUAGAAAUGAUUUGAAAUCGUCCAUGUUCACUCUUCGCAGGAGAUUUCACCUCUAUGAUUUUGUUGUCCCUCAUUCCAGAGUGUAAGUUAAGACUUAUAAUUAGGAUUGAAAGUAUAGAGAGAUAUAUUGUGGCGCAUUACAAGAUCUCCAAUUGAUGUCAUCCCCUUUUCAUGGUAACAGAUGAGUACCAUAUAUUUCGUAGGGCUGUGCAAGUAAAUUAUCAGCACAUUAGCUAAAAGUAAAUUACCUUUUUGCUACUUUAUAUAUGUAUGUUGAAGCCACUUGGCAUAUGAUUAGUUUUUUUAGGAAUAGGGGGGAUAAGUUCAUAUCACCUCAUUUAGAAAUAUGGUGAAGACUUGGCUACUUUAUAUUUAAUUGAUCCACAUAUAAUUAUCUGUUAUCAUUUUAUGUGGACAUUCACUUUUUCGACCGAGAAUAUUUUAUUCAGUCAGCUUCGAAGGUGAGAAAUAUUUUCUUAGAAGACAUAGUUUAAGAAUUUGGUAUCCGUGCAAGUAGGUCUAUUUUUUAAAUGUAAUUAUUUCCUCUAUUGUGUUGUGCAACAUAUGUAGGGUUAACUUUAUUUUGUAAUGAUUCUCUUUGGUAAUGUAACUGCAAAGAAAAGAGAAAACAGGUUAAUUCAAACUGAUAGGCAUACGAGUCCAACAAGCUUUGCUAGGAAACAACAUGAAUUGCAACAACAAUAUGCUGAGAAAAAGCCGUCGUCACAAGCACUAUUGUAUAAAGAAACUCGAAAACGGAAAGCAGGCAAAAACUACAAAACAUCCUUUGAGCCUAUUCAAAUGAACUU